GAUGAACGCUGGCGGCGUGCCUAAUACAUGCAAGUCGAGCGAACAGAUGAGGAGCUUGCUCCUCUGACGUUAGCGGCGGACGUGUGAGUAACACGUGGAUCACCUACCUAUAAGACUGGGAUAACUUCGGGAAACCGGAGCUAAUACCGGAUAAUCUAUUGAACCGCAUGGUUCAAUAGUGAAAGACGGUUUUGCUGUCACUUAUAGAUGGAUCCGCGCCGCAUUAGCUAGUUGGUAAGGUAACGGCUUACCAAGGCAACGAUGCGUAGCCGACCUGAGAGGGUGAUCGGCCACACUGGAACUGAGACACGGUCCAGACUCCUACGGGAGGCAGCAGUAGGGAAUCUUCCGCAAUGGGCGAAAGCCUGACGGAGCAACGCCGCGUGAAUGAUGAAGGUCUUCGGAUCGUAAAACUCUGUUAUUAGUGAAGAACAAAUGUGUAAGUAACUAUGCACGUCUUGACGGUACCUAAUCAGAAAGCCACGGCUAACUACGUG
This 497-nucleotide ribosomal RNA is filed under the name uncultured bacterium. RNAcentral's name for it is "partial 16S ribosomal RNA". It matches the Rfam family "Bacterial small subunit ribosomal RNA", at positions 28 to 507 of the family's 1533-position model. The record is from RNAcentral.